RNAcentral lists this antisense RNA (75 nucleotides) under Streptomyces alboflavus. Its description in RNAcentral is "ASpks TB sRNA". It matches the Rfam family "ASpks TB sRNA". The record is from Rfam by way of RNAcentral. Lineage: Bacteria; Bacillati; Actinomycetota; Actinomycetes; Kitasatosporales; Streptomycetaceae.
CUUCAGCGAGCCGAGCCACAGGGGCCGGUCGGCGGGGCGCUCCUUGCCGUAGGUGGCGAUGAGGGCCUGCGCCUC